Molecule: ribosomal RNA, 465 nt
Filed under: uncultured bacterium
Lineage: Bacteria
Description: partial 16S ribosomal RNA
Rfam family: Bacterial small subunit ribosomal RNA
Source: RNAcentral
CCUACGGGUGGCAGCAGUGGGGAAUAUUGCGCAAUGGGCGAAAGCCUGACGCAGCGACGCCGCGUGAGGGAUGAAGGUCUUCGGAUCGUAAACCUCUGUCAGCAGGGAAGAACGGUCACUGUGCUAAUCAGCAGUGAAUUGACGGUACCUGCAAAGGAAGCACCGGCUAACUCCGUGCCAGCAGCCGCGGUAAUACGGAGGGUGCGAGCGUUAAUCGGAAUUACUGGGCGUAAAGCGCUCGUAGGCGGUAUGUCAAGUCAAGGGUGAACUCCCCGCGCUCAACGUGGGAACUGCCUUUGAAACUGGCAAAAUGGAGUGUGUGAGAGGAUAGUGGAAUUCCUGGUGUAGGAGUGAAAUGCGUAGAUAUCUGGAGGAACAUCAGUGGCGAAGGCGGCCUGCUGGACCGCGACUGACGUUGAGGCUCGAAAGCGUGGGGAGCGAACAGGAUUAGAUACCCUAGUAGUC